Cheilinus undulatus (humphead wrasse) is the source of this 1327-nucleotide long non-coding RNA. RefSeq lists it as uncharacterized. NCBI's taxonomy places the organism in Eukaryota, Metazoa, Chordata, Actinopteri, Labriformes, Labridae. The record is from RefSeq and is a predicted model, not a curated record. The transcript has 3 exons.
GUAGUUGGCUUCGUGAUUUUGGCCUGCUGGCUUGGGUAAAAAGUGCCGUAAACAAGCUUGUCAUAAGUUUGACAUUGUCUUUUUACAGUGAAGGACUACUGUUAUCAAAAUACAUGGUUAAAAUUCACCUCAAACGAAAGUAAAUAGCUUUAAAACAGUUCAUCACAACGCGCUAUCUGUUGGUAGAGCUCUGAGCAGGUUCGCCUGAUGCCAGGUGUUGUUAAAAAAAGGUUAGCUUGAUGCUAUUAUCUUCAGCAAUGGAUUUAAAUCUACCACAUACAGUCAAACAGGAAAAUCACCUUCCUUUGGAUCAGCAAUUAAGAGGAGGAUGUGGACUUGUAUACCUUCAGGGAUUCAAGGAAACUGCAGCAAUGAGACGAAUCAGGAUAAUUGGAGAGUGGAGAGGAAGAAAUACCUUGGCUAAGGAAUUGAUGCAGUUUGGCAGCGGCCAGCGCUGAAAAUAGACCUGCAACAUAUCCUCAGCUAAGCACACGACAGUGGCGAUUCACAGACGCGCCGGUGCCGGACUGGUGGAACUGCUCUGAUUGACCUGAGAGGGAGCGAUUUGCUCUGCAGUACGAUUUGCUGGCAGAUGGCGCUGUUGCUGUAUGUAUGAAAUUGCAGGAAAGUGUUUGUUACAGGGGUGCUAGAAGUGAUUUAUUGCUGCAGUGUUGUUCACACACUCCAGUGGAAUUAUUUAGGACAGAGGAUAAAAUGACGUUUUGUCUUUUUUUCCUCUAGCCUUAUUACCACUGGGCUGUGUCCAGUAUUUUUGUAUUAAUAUCUUUGAGCUCCAUGGCAGAAACUUGUGUUGCUCUGUCAUUUUGGGCAAAUUUAUAAAAACGUAAGAGAUAGCUCAACACGUGUGUGCCAAGAUGGUAGGAUCUGUCUUACUGUGAGUUAACUUAAAAGCUUUUAUAAUUAUUUUUUACUGCCGAUUUGCUCCCAGAAAUAGAAAUUAAAGCAUUUUAAUUGGUAGAUUACUGUGGAUCGCAUUCCAUUUUGACUUCAAAAUAGAUCAGUGCAUGGGCAGUGAUGCUGCUUCUGGGAAUGGACAGAUAUUUUACUGCUCAAUCCUAAAGCAAACAAUUGUUUAAACUUCAUUUGUAUUACACAAAUUCUUUUAUGUAGAGACUGACAAAAAGGUUGGAUUUUUAUGACCAUGGAACAACACCUGUAUAUUUCAGUGUCCCUUUUACCGAUCAGUUUUCUCCUACCACUUUCAGUUUUUGCAUUUUAAAUUUGCUAUAAACACUUUUGUCCAUGACAAAUCUUAUAAAAUUGUUUUUAAAAGAGAUAGUGCCAAGCCCUUUUAGAAUCUUUGGUG